AGAGUUUGAUCCUGGCUCAGAAUGAACGCUGGCGGCGUGCCUAACACAUGCAAGUCGAGCGAGAAAGUUCCUUCGGGAAUGAGUACAGCGGCGGACGGGUGAGUAACACGUAAGAAUCUGCCCCAUAGUGAAGAAUACCCUUGAGAAAUUGAGGUUAAUACUGCAUAAGUCCCUUCGGGGAGAAAGACGUCUUUUAUGUCGUCGCUAUAGGAUGAGCUUGCGGACUAUCAGCUUGUUGGUGAGGUAAAGGCUCACCAAGGCUAUGACGGUUAACCGGCCUGAGAGGGUGUACGGUCACAUAGGCACUGAGAUACGGGCCUGACUCCUACGGGAGGCAGCAGUGGGGAAUAUUGCGCAAUGGGCGAAAGCCUGACGCAGCGACGCCGCGUGGAGGAUGAAGGUCUUAGGAUUGUAAACUCCUGUCAGAUGGGAAGAAAGGCUUAUGUUUAAUAGACGUAAGAUAUGACGAUACCAUCAGAGGAAGCACCGGCUAACUUCGUGCCAGCAGCCGCGGUAAUACGAAGGGUGCGAGCGUUAUUCGGAAUCACUGGGCGUAAAGGGUGCGUAGAUGGUAUGUUAAGUUCGUUGUUAAAGGCUCCGGCCUAACUGGAGUAUUGCGAUGAAAACUGGCACACUAGAGGGUGAGAGAGAGAAGUGGAAUUCCCGGAGUAGCGGUAAAAUGCGUGGAUCUCGGGAGGAACACCAAUGGCGAAGGCAGCUUCUUGGCUCAUUCCUGACAUUGAGGCACGAAAGCGUGGGGAGCAAACAGGAUUAGAUACCCUAGUAGUCC
This 790-nucleotide ribosomal RNA is filed under the name uncultured bacterium. RNAcentral's name for it is "bacterial SSU rRNA". It matches the Rfam family "Bacterial small subunit ribosomal RNA", at positions 8 to 796 of the family's 1533-position model. The record is from RNAcentral.